RNAcentral lists this ribosomal RNA (523 nucleotides) under uncultured bacterium. RNAcentral's name for it is "bacterial SSU rRNA". It matches the Rfam family "Bacterial small subunit ribosomal RNA", at positions 8 to 523 of the family's 1533-position model. The record is from RNAcentral.
AGAGUUUGAUCCUGGCUCAGGAUGAACGCUAGCUACAGGCUUAACACAUGCAAGUCGAGGGGCAGCAUUGGAGUAGCAAUACUUCAGAUGGCGACCGGCGCACGGGUGAGUAACACGUAUCCAACCUGCCGCUUACUCGGGGAUAGCCUUUCGAAAGAAAGAUUAAUACCCGAUGGUAUAAAGAGUUCGCAUGUUCUCUUUAUUAAAGAAUUUCGGUAAGCGAUGGGGAUGCGUUCCAUUAGAUUGUUGGCGGGGUAACGGCCCACCAAGUCUACGAUGGAUAGGGGUUCUGAGAGGAAGGUCCCCCACAUUGGAACUGAGACACGGUCCAAACUCCUACGGGAGGCAGCAGUGAGGAAUAUUGGUCAAUGGACGCGAGUCUGAACCAGCCAAGUAGCGUGAAGGAUGACUGCCCUAUGGGUUGUAAACUUCUUUUAUAAGGGAAUAAAGUGAGGGACGUGUCCCUUUUUGUAUGUACCUUAUGAAUAAGGAUCGGCUAACUCCGUGCCAGCAGCCGCGGUAA